GAAACCUUCUGUGACAUUGGCAUUGUUUUGUCUAUCCCUUCAGAUGUCCCAAGUCUGACUGCCAACACGCUGGAGAUGCUGAAUGCCACCAUAACAAACAGCUGCCCCCUCACUGAAUCUGCUGCUUCCAGUCCCUACCUCAUCCUCUUACCUCUAUUAAUCGGUUGCACCAUUGAAUUAUGAUGGAUCUGCACCGCGCUGAGAAGAAAAAAAGGGGCGUGGCAGCCUGACAAUAGUGCGGCAUCGAUCAGAAUAAAAUUAGAAGCAGAGAAGGAGGCGAGCAAUAGUACAUGAUGGACAUUGAUUUUACAAAAGAAAAAGUAAUGAAAUAAAAAAGAAAAAAAUGUUUAAUUUAUAAUACAAACUUUAUAAAAGAAAUUUUGAAUAUAAAUAUGUAAAUAUAUGUUAUAAAAAAGCAAUGUUUACUGGCACUUUAAGUUUCUAUCCUUCCUGCUGAGGACAAUUAGUUAAAGCUAUAAAACAGUCAAUAAAAAAACAAUGUCCAAAUC
This is a long non-coding RNA of Bombina bombina (fire-bellied toad), 509 nucleotides long. RefSeq lists it as uncharacterized. The record is from RefSeq and is a predicted model, not a curated record. The transcript has 2 exons. NCBI's taxonomy places the organism in Eukaryota, Metazoa, Chordata, Amphibia, Anura, Bombinatoridae.